GACGAACGCUGGCGGCGUGCUUAACACAUGCAAGUCGAACGGAAAGGCCCUGCUUUUGUGGGGUGCUCGAGUGGCGAGCGGGUGAGUAACACGUGAGUAACCUGCCCUUGACUUUGGGAUAACUUCACGAAACUGGGGCUCAUACCGCAUAGGAGCUCCUGCAGCAUGGUGGGGGAUGGAAAGAUUCGGCGGUUGGGGCUGGACUCGCGGCUUAUCAGCUUGUUGGUGGGGUAGGUGCUUACCAAGGCUUUGACGGGUAGCCGGCCUGAGAGGGUGACCGGCCACAUUGGGACUGAGAGACGGCCCAGACUCCUACGGGAGGCAGCAGUGGAGAAUAUUGCACAAUGGGCGGAAGCCUGAUGCAGCGACGCCGCGUGCGGGAUGCCGGCUUUCGGGGUGUAAACCGCUUUCGCCUGUGACGAAGCGUGAGUGACGGUAAUGGGUAAAGAAGCAACGGCUAACUACGUG
RNAcentral lists this ribosomal RNA (468 nucleotides) under uncultured bacterium. Its description in RNAcentral is "partial 16S ribosomal RNA". It matches the Rfam family "Bacterial small subunit ribosomal RNA", at positions 28 to 507 of the family's 1533-position model. The record is from RNAcentral.